AACUGCGCUAAGUAAUGUGAAUUGCAGAAUUCAGUGAAUCAUCGAGUCUUUGAACGCACAUUGCGCCCCCUGGCAUUCCGGGGGGCAUGCCUGUCCGAGCGUCAUUGCUGCCCUUCAAGCCCGGCUUGUGUGUUGGGUCGUCGUCCCCCCCGGGGGACGGACCCGAAAGGCUGCGGCGGCACCGUGUCCGGUCCUCGAGCGUAUGGGGCUUUGUCACCCGCUCGAUUAGGACCGGCCGGACGCCCGCCGGCGUCAAACCCCAAUCUUUCUAAGGUUGACCUCGGAUCAGGUAGGGAUACCCGCUGAACUUAAGC
Molecule: unclassified non-coding RNA, 314 nt
Filed under: plant metagenome
Description: partial contains 5.8S ribosomal RNA, internal transcribed spacer 2, and large subunit ribosomal RNA
Rfam family: 5.8S ribosomal RNA (bases 1-104)
Source: RNAcentral